Molecule: ribosomal RNA, 1496 nt
Filed under: uncultured Bordetella sp.
Lineage: Bacteria; Pseudomonadati; Pseudomonadota; Betaproteobacteria; Burkholderiales; Alcaligenaceae
Description: partial 16S-23S ribosomal RNA intergenic spacer
Rfam family: Bacterial small subunit ribosomal RNA
Source: RNAcentral
GUUCGAUCCUGGCUCAGAUUGAACGCUGGCGGAUCACUACAUGCAAAUCGAACGGCAGCACAGAACUUCGGUCUGGUGGCGAGUGGCGAACGGGUGAGUGAUGUAUCCGGAACGUGCCCUGGUGGCCAGGAGAUAACUACGGCGAAAGCGUAGCUAUGCCGCCGCCCUUCGGGGGAAAGCAGGGGACCUUCGGGCCUCGCACUAUGCGACGGCCGAUAUUAUCGGAUUAGCUAGUUGGUGGGGGUAACCUGGCUCUGGGCGACGAUCCGUAGCUGGUUUGAGAGGACGACCAGCCACACUGGGACUGAGACGGCCCAGACUCCUACGGGAGGCAGCAGUGGGAAUUUUGGACAAUGGGGAAACCUGAUCCAGCCAUCCCCGCGUGUGCGAUGAAGGCCUUCGGGUUAUAAAGCACUUUUGGCAGGAGAAACGGCACGGGAUAAUACCCCGUGCAACUGACGGUACUUACUCACAGAAUAAGCUUCCGGCUAACUUCGUGCCAGCAACCGCAGUAAUACGUAGGGUGCAAGCGUUAAUCAGAUUACUGGAGGCGUAAAGCGUGCGCAGGCGGUUCGGAAAGAAAGAUGUGAAAUCCCAGAGCUUAACUUUGGAACUGCAUUUUUACCUUUACCGAACUAGAAGUGUGUCAGAGAGUGGAAUUCCGCGUGUAGCAGUGAAAUGCGUAGAUAUGCAGAGGAACACCGAUGAAGGCAGCACUCCUGGGAUAACACUGACGCUCAUGCGAAAGCGUGGGGAGCGCAAACAGGAUUAGAUACCUGGUAGUCCACGCCCUAAACGAUGUCAACUAGCUGUUGGGGCCGGCGAGCCUUAGUAGCGCAACAUGAAGUUAACCCAAAACCACAGGAAGUACGGUCGCAAGAUUAAAACUCAAAAGAAUUGACGGGGACUCGCACAAGCUUGGUGGAUGAUGUGGAUUAAUUCGAUGCAACGCGAAAAACCUUACCUACCCCUUGACAUGUCUGGAAUCCCGAAGAGAUUUGGGAGUGCUCGCAAAAGAACCGGAACACAGGUGCUGCAUGGCUGUCGUCAGCUCGUGUCGUGAGAUGUUGGGUUAAGUCCCGCAACGAGGCGCAACCCUUGUCAUUAGAUUGCUACGAAAGGGCACUCUAAUGGAACUGCCGGUGACAAACCGGAGGAAGGUGGGGAUGACGUCAAGUCCUCAUGGCCGCAGCAAAUUUAGGGCUUCCCGCACGUCAUACAAUGGUCGGGACGGAGGUCGCCCAGCCCGCGAGGGGGGCUAAUCCCAGAAACCCGAUCGUAGUCCGGAUCGCAGUCUGCAACUCAGCUUCGCGUAAAGUCGGAAUCACUAAAGUAAUCGCGGAUCAGCAUGUCGCGGUGAAUACGUUCCCAGGUCUUAUACACACCGCCCGUCACACCAUGGGAGUGGGGUUUACCAAAGUAGUUAGCCCUAACCGUAAGGAGGGGCGAUUACCACGGUAGGAUUCAUGACUGGGGGUGAAGUCGUAACAAGAUAA